AUUGAACGCUGGCGGCAUGCCUUACACAUGCAAGUCGAACGGCAGCACGGGAGCAAUCCUGGUGGCGAGUGGCGAACGGGUGAGUAAUAUAUCGGAACGUGCCCAGUCGUGGGGAUAACGUAGCGAAAGCUACGCUAAUACCGCAUACGAUCUAUGGAUGAAAGCGGGGGAUCGCAAGACCUCGCGCGAUUGGAGCGGCCGAUAUCAGAUUAGGUAGUUGGUGAGGUAAAGGCUCACCAAGCCGACGAUCUGUAGCUGGUCUGAGAGGACGACCAGCCACACUGGGACUGAGACACGGCCCAGACUCCUACGGGAGGCAGCAGUGGGGAAUUUUGGGACAAUGGGNGCAAGCCUGAUCCAGCAAUGCCGCGUGCAGGAUGAAGGCUUCGGGUUGUAACUAGUCUUUG
RNAcentral lists this ribosomal RNA (407 nucleotides) under uncultured bacterium. RNAcentral's name for it is "bacterial SSU rRNA". It matches the Rfam family "Bacterial small subunit ribosomal RNA", at positions 30 to 438 of the family's 1533-position model. The record is from RNAcentral.